GUGAGCGCUGGCGGUAGGCCUAACACAUGCAAGUCGAACGGCAGCACAGUAAGAGCUUGCUCUUACGGGUGGCGAGUGGCGGACGGGUGAGGAAUACAUCGGAAUCUACUUUUUCGUGGGGGAUAACGUAGGGAAACUUACGCUAAUACCGCAUACGACCUACGGGUGAAAGCAGGGGAUCUUCGGACCUUGCGCGAUUGAGUGAGCCGAUGUCGGAUUAGCUAGUUGGCGGGGUAAAGGCCCACCAAGGCGACGAUCCGUAGCUGGUCUGAGAGGAUGAUCAGCCACACUGGAACUGAGACACGGUCCAGACUCCUACGGGAGGCAGCAGUGGGGAAUAUUGGACAAUGGGCGCAAGCCUGAUCCAGCCAUACCGCGUGGGUGAAGAAGGCCUUCGGGUUGUAAAGCCCUUUUGUUGGGAAAGAAAAGCAGCAGGUUAAUACCCCGCUGUUCUGACGGUACCCAAAGAAUAAGCACCGGCUAACUUCGUG
RNAcentral lists this ribosomal RNA (491 nucleotides) under uncultured bacterium. Its description in RNAcentral is "partial 16S ribosomal RNA". It matches the Rfam family "Bacterial small subunit ribosomal RNA", at positions 29 to 507 of the family's 1533-position model. The record is from RNAcentral.